GCCGGGAGUAACUAAUUUGAAAGGAGAAGUAUGAUCGGAGGAGGAGAAGAGGUUAGAAUUCUAGAGAGAAGUUGGAAGGUCUAGAGAGAAGGAGGAGAAAAUGGUGGAUUCUGGAAAAUGAACUUGAGGAAGAAGGAAGGUUGCAAUGCAGAAAAUGGUGCCAAGUUUAAAAUCUCACUUUAAAUAUGGUCGCCAAAAUGGACGUUCGGUCCACUCCCUUUCUACCACAUGGCUUCCACUAUCUGGAAAACCACAUUCCCUUUUGCAACCACACGUCUACCGAGGGCGGGGAAUUAAAUGCAAUAACAGGCUUUGUCUGCCACUGCCAUGGGGAAUUUGGAAGGGUCUUGACAAGUGUACCCCACUAAAGAGGGGUAUUAAAUGGGGUGUGACAUUAUAUAUUUUUUCCUCCAUUCAAAUAGUUAUACUUUCCCCUUUUUUUUUUUCCUUUUCCAAUCCAAACAAAUCAUAAAUUCAAAUACACUUGUUACCUAUCUGAUAAGAGUCUUUUGUCUUUAAAUUUAUUGAAUAAGUUACCAUUCAUCUUAAAUAAAUUAAUUUGAGGAAGAAGAAAUGUUGCAAUGCAGAAAGUGGUGUCAAGUUUAAAAUCUCACUUUAAAUAUGGCCGCCAAAAUGGACGUUCGGUCCACUCCCUUUCUACCACAUGGCUUCCACUAUCUGGAAAACCACAUUCCCCUUGCAGCCACACGUCUACCGAGGGCGGGGAAUUAAAUGCAAUAACAGGCUUUGUCUGCCACUGCGAUGGGGAAUUUGGAAGGGUUUUGACAAGUGUACCCCACUAAAGAGGGGUAUUAAAUGGGGUGUGACAUUAUAUAUUUUUUCCUCCAUUCAAAUAAUUAUACUUUCCCUCCUUUUUUUUUUCCUUUUCCCUCUCCUUUUCCAAUCCAAACAAAUCAUAAAUUCAAAUACAUUGUUACCUA
Molecule: long non-coding RNA, 941 nt
Filed under: Vigna radiata
Lineage: Eukaryota; Viridiplantae; Streptophyta; Magnoliopsida; Fabales; Fabaceae
Description: long non-coding RNA (VRAD_LNC006991)
Source: RNAcentral